Molecule: long non-coding RNA, 1204 nt
Organism: Setaria italica (foxtail millet)
Lineage: Eukaryota; Viridiplantae; Streptophyta; Magnoliopsida; Poales; Poaceae
Exons: 2
Source: RefSeq, a predicted model, not a curated record
UCCAUCACGCCUGGUCCACUGCUGCCCCUGUCCAUCGCCGCCCGCGUGCUCGCCGCCGCCGCCCGUGGCCCUCAGCGCCGCUGCUGGAGAAACAGGGAGGCUGCCCCCAUCGUUCGACCUCCAUCUCUGCUCUUCUUCAUCGUGGGCAAGAUUCAUCAGGCCUGGAGCUCAGAACUAUCCUCGACAUGGGAUUGGCCGCUGCGAGAGCUGCAAAGUACUUGCCAUCCUUGCCCUUCUUCCAUCUCGGACCUGGCAAAUCCAUAAGCUGACGACAAUGCAUGAGACUUGGUUCGUAGUAACGAUUUAAAGAGCCUAACAAUUGGGCAAGACCAAACAUUUGCAAGCUAUGUUGUCAUAAUUUGAUAAAGAACUCAAAAGAAGCAUUAUCACCGUCAUGAUUUGAGAGUACCAGCUUUCAGGAGCAUGGAACAAGGGGAAAUAUAGGAGCAUGGAGCAUGAUUCGACCUUGCAAUGAUUGCUGAAGGCCAUUGCCUUGCGGCCUCUGAAUCUGCAACUGAUGCUGCAUCCUCUAGCCCUGGGAUGCCAGUUGUUGCUGCCUCUGGUCAGGAAUUGACGCUCUCUCCCACCCUCCUAGUUAGUUAAAUAUAUUAGUGCUUCUACCUGAUCCAGAUAUUGUUGUGUGGCCUGCAGAUUUGAAAACAUGUGCUCUGUGCAAGAUAUUCCUUACCUGGGCUACCAGAUGAAGCCUGAAGCCAUCCGAAAUUGAGAAGCCGAUUAUUGUUGACCAUAGUGAACUACUUUGCAACAACAGUCACUAUUAUUAUUGUUGCUGUUCCUGAAGGGUUGCCUCUAGCUGUUACUUUGAGUCUUGCAUUUGCAAUGAAAAGCUAAUGAAUGAUAAAGCACUCGUAAGACAUCUUUCAGCAUGUGAGACAAUGGGAUCUGUUGGUACCAUCUGCACAGAUAAAACAGGAAAUUUGACAAUAGUUUGAAAGAUCAGAAUUCUAUCAUUUCUCCAACCACCCAAGGCCUACUCUUGCAGGGCAUUUUUGAAGAAGAUGGCAGUGUUGGUCUCAUUGCCCAAUGACUACAUCCAAGAAAUGUAGCAUGAUUCUUACUUCAUACAGUAGGAAAUUAGUGUACUCUGUGUAAGGAUGUAAUAUGUGUAAUGCCUGACUUAUGUGUAAGGAUGUAAAUGCAAAGAUAUUUAUGCAAAUGCACUGAUGAAAUAAAUUACAGUGAA